GUCGAGAAUCAUUCACAAUGGGCGAAAGCCUGAUGGUGUGACGCCGCGUGGAGGAUGACGGUCUUCGGAUUGUAAACUCCUGUCAUGUGAGAGUAAGAACCAGGGAGUAACUGCCUGUGGUUUUGAGAGUAUCACAAGAGGAAGAGGCGGCUAACUCUGUGCCAGCAGCCGCGGUAAUACAGAGGCCUCAAGCGUUGUUCGGAAUCACUGGGCGUAAAGGGUGCGUAGGCGGCGCGGAAAGUCAGGGGUGAAAUCCCGGAGCUCAACUCCGGAACUGCCUUUGAUACUCCCGCGCUUGAGAACUGGAGGGGACAUCGGAAUUCACGGUGGAGCAGUGAAAUGCGUGGAUAUCGUGAGGAACACUAGUGGCGAAGGCGGAUGUCUGGACAGUAUCUGACGCUGAGGCACGAAGGCCAGGGGAGCGAACGGGAUUAGAUACCCUAGUAGUCC
Molecule: ribosomal RNA, 450 nt
Filed under: uncultured bacterium
Lineage: Bacteria
Description: bacterial SSU rRNA
Rfam family: Bacterial small subunit ribosomal RNA
Source: RNAcentral